Molecule: ribosomal RNA, 467 nt
Filed under: uncultured bacterium
Lineage: Bacteria
Description: partial 16S ribosomal RNA
Rfam family: Bacterial small subunit ribosomal RNA
Source: RNAcentral
GAUGAACGCUGGCGGCGUGCUUAACACAUGCAAGUCGAACGGAAAGGCCCAAGCUUGCUUGGGUACUCGAGUGGCGAACGGGUGAGUAACACGUGGGUGAUCUGCCCUGCACUUCGGGAUAAGCCUGGGAAACUGGGUCUAAUACCGGAUAGGACCACAUUUUGGAUGGUGUGGUGGAAAGUUUUUCGGUGUGGGAUGAGCUCGCGGCCUAUCAGCUUGUUGGUGGGGUAAUGGCCUACCAAGGCGUCGACGGGUAGCCGGCCUGAGAGGGUGUACGGCCACAUUGGGACUGAGAUACGGCCCAGACUCCUACGUGAGGCAGCAGUGGGGAAUAUUGCACAAUGGGCGCAAGCCUGAUGCAGCGACGCCGCGUGGGGGAUGACGGCCUUCGGGUUGUAAACUCCUUUCGCUAGGGACGAAGCGUUUUUGUGACGGUACCUGGAGAAGAAGCACCGGCUAACUACGUG